CAUUAACAAACGAACACGACCGACCCUGUUGAAAUGUGGACUGUUGGGGGGACAAUCAGUGGGCGAGGAGUGUGAUCAAGCGCCAUUGUGCACUUUUCUGCUCCUCAUUCGUUCCCCCCUCGCAGCUUAGCAAACACCCUUUAUUGAUAGACCACUAGCAAAGAACCGAAUUAAAAACAACUUUUAACAAUGGACCUCUUGGCUCUUACAACGAUGAAGAACGCAGUGAAAUGCGAAAAGUAAUGCGAUUUGCAUGAAUCUGUGAGUCAUCAAGUCUUUGAACGCACCUUGCACCGUAUGAGCAAUUAUACGGUAUACCUGUUUGAGAAUCGUAAAACCCCCUCUUCUCUUGUCUCUCGGGACAAGGCGAAGGAUGUGUCGGUUGUGUCUGCCUUGGUGGAUACUCUGAUUAAAUGGAGUAGGUUUGGAUCGGGCUGGUGGCCCGAGACACUGUGUGCUAGAGACUAGCAGUCGUUUACUCGACUGGUCUGUCUUCUCAUGGUGCGUCUCGGGUCAUUCAAAGCUGGCCUGUUCAUCUGACCCUUUAACUGCGCCAAGGUCUUGUGCCUUGGGCAACCCCAUUCUUUGAUCUCAAAUCAGGUAA
This 604-nucleotide ribosomal RNA is filed under the name uncultured fungus. Its description in RNAcentral is "eukaryotic LSU rRNA". The stretch from base 179 to 332 matches the Rfam family "5.8S ribosomal RNA". Lineage: Eukaryota; Fungi. The record is from RNAcentral.